GUGCUGAUGAAGAGUCCAAAACUAGGACGAAAUAGCUGUCAAGUAC
This 46-nucleotide non-coding RNA is filed under the name Trichobilharzia regenti. The record is from RNAcentral. Lineage: Eukaryota; Metazoa; Platyhelminthes; Trematoda; Strigeidida; Schistosomatidae.